This 406-nucleotide ribosomal RNA is filed under the name uncultured bacterium. RNAcentral describes it as "partial 16S ribosomal RNA". It matches the Rfam family "Bacterial small subunit ribosomal RNA", at positions 29 to 526 of the family's 1533-position model. The record is from RNAcentral.
AUUGAACGCUGGCGGCAGGCCUAACACAUGCAAGUCGAACGAGUGGCGGACGGGUGAGUAAUGUCUGGGAAACUGCCUGAGGGAGGGGGAUAACUAAUGGAAACGGUAGCUAAUACCGCAUACCAUCAGAUGUGCCCAGAUGGGUUUAGCUUGUGGGGGGGGUAACGGCUGCCGAAGGCGACGAUCCCUAGCUGGUCUGAGAGGAUGACCCGCCACACUGGAACUGAGACACGGUCCAGACUCCUACGGGAGGCAGCAGUGGGGAAUAUGGCACAAUGGGGGAAAGCCGGAUGCAGCCAUGCCGCGUGUAGGAAGAAGGCCUUCGGGUUGUAAAGUACUUUCAGCGGGGAGGCGUUACCCGCAGAAGAAGCACCGGCUAACUCCGUGCCAGCAGCCGCGGUAAUAC